RNAcentral lists this ribosomal RNA (688 nucleotides) under Bacillus mycoides. Its description in RNAcentral is "bacterial SSU rRNA". It matches the Rfam family "Bacterial small subunit ribosomal RNA", at positions 1 to 662 of the family's 1533-position model. Lineage: Bacteria; Bacillati; Bacillota; Bacilli; Caryophanales; Bacillaceae. The record is from RNAcentral. RNAcentral also lists the same sequence under 1 other name.
UUUAUAUAUUUUGGAAUAUAGCGUCAGGCAUGAGAAAUUGCACGUUUGCCUCUUAAUACACUGCAAGUCGAGCGAUUUCGAAUAAGAGCUCCCUGUUAGGAAGUUAGCGGUGCACGUCAGAGUAAAGAGUGGGUACCCGCCCCCAUAAGACUGCGAUAAUUCCGGGUAACGGGGGCUAAUACCGGAUAACAUUGUGCGCUGCAUGGUACGAAAUCGAAAGGCGGCUUCGGCUGUCACUCAAGGAUGCACCCGCGUCGCAUUAGCUAGUUGUUAGGUAACGGCUCACCAAGGCAACGAUGAGUAGCCGACCUGAGAGGGUGAUCGGCCACUCUGGGAUUGAGCCACGGCGCAGACUCCUACGGGAGGCAGCAGUAGGGAAUUUUCCGCAAUGGACGAAAGUCUGACGGAGCAACCCCGCGUGAGUGAUGAAGGCUUUCGGGUCGUAAAACUCUGUUGUUAGGGAAGAACAAGUGCUAGUUGAAUAAGCUGGCCCCUUGACGGUACCUAACCAGAAAGCCCCGGCUAACUCCGUGCCAGCAGCCGCGGUAAUACGUAGGUGGCAAGCGUUAUCCGGAAUUAUUCGGCGUAAAGCGCGCGCAGGUGGUUUCUUAAGUCUGAUGUGAAAGCCCACGGCUCAACCGCGGAGGGUCAUUGGAAACUGGGAGACUGGAGUGCAGAAGAGAACGCA